Molecule: ribosomal RNA, 167 nt
Filed under: uncultured bacterium
Lineage: Bacteria
Description: partial 16S rRNA
Rfam family: Bacterial small subunit ribosomal RNA
Source: RNAcentral
CAGUAGGGAAUCUUCCACAAUGGGCGGAAGCCUGAUGGAGCAACGCCGCGUGUGUGAUGAAGGGUUUCGGCUCGUAAAACACUGUUGUAAGAGAAGAAUGACAUUGAGAGUAACUGUUCAAUGUGUGACGGUAUCUUACCAGAAAGGAACGGCUAAAUACGUGCCAC